This 253-nucleotide ribosomal RNA is filed under the name uncultured bacterium. RNAcentral's name for it is "partial 16S ribosomal RNA". It matches the Rfam family "Bacterial small subunit ribosomal RNA", at positions 524 to 776 of the family's 1533-position model. The record is from RNAcentral.
UACGUAGGUGACAAGCGUUGUCCGGAUUUACUGGGCGUAAAGAGCGCGCAGGCGGUCGAUCAAGUCGAGUGUGAAAGCCCCCGGCUCAACUGGGGAGGGUCAUUCGAUACUGAUCGACUCGAAGGCAGGAGAGGGUAGUGGAAUUCCCGGUGUAGUGGUGAAAUGCGUAGAUAUCUGGAGGAACACCGGUGGCGAAGGCGGCAUCCUGGACCGAGAUUGACGCUGAGGCGCGAAAGCCAGGGGAGCAAACGGG